GAUGAACGCUGGCGGCGUGCCUAAUACAUGCAAGUCGAGCGAACAGACGAGGAGCUUGCUCCUCUGACGUUAGCGGCGGACGGGUGAGUAACACGUGGAUAACCUACCUAUAAGACUGGGAUAACUUCGGGAAACCGGAGCUAAUACCGGAUAAUAUAUUGAACCGCAUGGUUCAAUAGUGAAAGACGGUUUUGCUGUCACUUAUAGCUGGAUCCGCGCCGCAUUAGCUAGUUGGUAAGGUAACGGCUUUCCAAGGCAACGAUGCGUAGCCGACCUGAGAGGGUGAUCGGCCACACUGGAACUGAGACACGGUCAAGACUCCUAAGGGAGGCAGCAGUAGGGAAUCUUCCGCAAUGGGCGAAAGCCUGACGGAGCAACGCCGCGUGAGUGAUGAAGGUCUUCGGAUCGUAAAACUCUGUUAUUAGGGAAGAACAAAUGUGUAAGUAACUAUGCACGUCCUGACGGUACCUAAUCAGAAAGCCACGGCUAACUACGUG
This 497-nucleotide ribosomal RNA is filed under the name uncultured bacterium. RNAcentral's name for it is "partial 16S ribosomal RNA". It matches the Rfam family "Bacterial small subunit ribosomal RNA", at positions 28 to 507 of the family's 1533-position model. The record is from RNAcentral.